GGAGGUGUGGCUCUGUGGCAGAGUGCUGGCCUCAGAAGCUAGAGGCCCUGAGUUCAAACUCUGCCCCCUA
RNAcentral lists this transfer RNA (70 nucleotides) under Fukomys damarensis (Damara mole-rat). It matches the Rfam family "tRNA". Rfam says of the family: Transfer RNA (tRNA) molecules are approximately 80 nucleotides in length. Their secondary structure includes four short double-helical elements and three loops (D, anti-codon, and T loops). Lineage: Eukaryota; Metazoa; Chordata; Mammalia; Rodentia; Bathyergidae. The record is from Rfam by way of RNAcentral.